GGGUUGUGAGGUUAAGCGACUAAGCGUACACGGUGGAUGCCCUGGCAGUCAGAGGCGAUGAAGGACGUGCUAAUCUGCGAAAAGCGUCGGUAAGGUGAUAUGAACCGUUACAGCCGGCGAUGUCCGAAUGGGGAAACCCAGUGCAAUUCGUUGCACUAUCGUUAACUGAAUACAUAGGUUAACGAGGCGAACCGGGGGAACUGAAACAUCUAAGUACCCCGAGGAAAAGAAAUCAACCGAGAUUCCCCCAGUAGCGGCGAGCGAACGGGGAGCAGCCCAGAGUCUGAAUCAGCUUGUGUGUUAGUGGAACGGUCUGGAAAGUCCGACGGUACAGGGUGAUAGUCCCGUACACCAAAAUGCACAGGCUGUGAACUCGAAGAGUAGGGCGGGACACGUGGUAUCCUGUCUGAAUAUGGGGGGACCAUCCUCCAAGGCUAAAUACUCCUGACUGACCGAUAGUGAACCAGUACCGUGAGGGAAAGGCGAAAAGAACCCCGGCGAGGGGAGUGAAAAAGAACCUGAAACCGUGUACGUACAAGCAGUGGGAGCACCUUCGGGUGUGACUGCGUACCUUUUGUAUAAUGGGUCAGCGACUUAUAUUCUGUAGCAAGGUUAACCGUAUAGGGGAGCCGCAGGGAAACCGAGUCUUAAAUGGGCGUUAAGUUGCAGGGUAUAGACCCGAAACCCGGUGAUCUAGCCAUGGGCAGGUUGAAGGUUGGGUAACACUAACUGGAGGACCGAACCGACUAAUGUUGAAAAAUUAGCGGAUGACUUGUGGCUGGGGGUGAAAGGCCAAUCAAACCGGGAGAUAGCUGGUUCUCCCCGAAAGCUAUUUAGGUAGCGCCUCGUGAACUCAUCUUCGGGGGUAGAGCACUGUUUCGGCUAGGGGGUCAUCCCGACUUACCAACCCGAUGCAAACUACGAAUACCGAAGAAUGUUAUCACGGGAGACACACGGCGGGUGCUAACGUCCGUCGUGAAGAGGGAAACAACCCAGACCGCCAGCUAAGGUCCCAAAGUCACAGUUAAGUGGGAAACGAUGUGGGAAGGCACAGACAGCCAGGAUGUUGGCUUAGAAGCAGCCAUCAUUUAAAGAAAGCGUAAUAGCUCACUGGUCGAGUCGGCCUGCGCGGAAGAUGUAACGGGGCUAAACUGUGCACCGAAGCUGCGGCAGCGACACUAUGUGUUGUUGGGUAGGGGAGCGUUCUGUAAGCCUGCGAAGGUGGCCUGUGAGGGUUGCUGGAGGUAUCAGAAGUGCGAAUGCUGACAUAAGUAACGAUAAUGCGGGUGAAAAGCCCGCACGCCGGAAGACCAAGGGUUCCUGUCCAACGUUAAUCGGGGCAGGGUGAGUCGACCCCUAAGGCGAGGCCGAAAGGCGUAGUCGAUGGGAAACAGGUUAAUAUUCCUGUACUUGGUGUUACUGCGAAGGGGGGACGGAGAAGGCUAUGUUAGCCGGGCGACGGUUGUCCCGGUUUAAGCAUGUAGGCGGAGGUUCCAGGUAAAUCCGGUACCUUUUUAACGCUGAGGUGUGAUGACGAGGCACUACGGUGCUGAAGUAACAAAUGCCCUGCUUCCAGGAAAAGCCUCUAAGCAUCAGGUAACAUUGAAUCGUACCCCAAACCGACACAGGUGGUCAGGUAGAGAAUACCAAGGCGCUUGAGAGAACUCGGGUGAAGGAACUAGGCAAAAUGGUGCCGUAACUUCGGGAGAAGGCACGCUGAUAUGUAGGUGAAGCCCCUGCGGGUGGAGCUGAAAUCAGUCGAAGAUACCAGCUGGCUGCAACUGUUUAUUAAAAACACAGCACUGUGCAAACACGAAAGUGGACGUAUACGGUGUGACGCCUGCCCGGUGCCGGAAGGUUAAUUGAUGGGGUUAUCCGUAAGGAGAAGCUCUUGAUCGAAGCCCCGGUAAACGGCGGCCGUAACUAUAACGGUCCUAAGGUAGCGAAAUUCCUUGUCGGGUAAGUUCCGACCUGCACGAAUGGCGUAAUGAUGGCCAGGCUGUCUCCACCCGAGACUCAGUGAAAUUGAACUCGCUGUGAAGAUGCAGUGUACCCGCGGCAAGACGGAAAGACCCCGUGAACCUUUACUAUAGCUUGACACUGAACAUUGAGCCUUGAUGUGUAGGAUAGGUGGGAGGCUUUGAAGCGUGGACGCCAGUCUGCGUGGAGCCAACCUUGAAAUACCACCCUUUAAUGUUUGAUGUUCUAACGUUGGCCCCUGACCGGGGUUGCGGACAGUGUCUGGUGGGUAGUUUGACUGGGGCGGUCUCCUCCCAAAGAGUAACGGAGGAGCACGAAGGUUAGCUAAUCCUGGUCGGACAUCAGGAGGUUAGUGCAAUGGCAUAAGCUAGCUUGACUGCGAGCGUGACGGCGCGAGCAGGUGCGAAAGCAGGUCAUAGUGAUCCGGUGGUUCUGAAUGGAAGGGCCAUCGCUCAACGGAUAAAAGGUACUCCGGGGAUAACAGGCUGAUACCGCCCAAGAGUUCAUAUCGACGGCGGUGUUUGGCACCUCGAUGUCGGCUCAUCACAUCCUGGGGCUGAAGUAGGUCCCAAGGGUAUGGCUGUUCGCCAUUUAAAGUGGUACGCGAGCUGGGUUUAGAACGUCGUGAGACAGUUCGGUCCCUAUCUGCCGUGGGCGCUGGAGAAUUGAGGGGGGCUGCUCCUAGUACGAGAGGACCGGAGUGGACGCAUCACUGGUGUUCGGGUUGUCAUGCCAAUGGCAUUGCCCGGUAGCUAAAUGCGGAAGAGAUAAGUGCUGAAAGCAUCUAAGCACGAAACUUGCCCCGAGAUGAGUUCUCCCUGAGACUUUAAGUCUCCUGAAGGAACGUUAAAGACGAUGACGUUGAUAGGUCGGGUGUGUAAGCGUAGCGAUACGUUGAGCUAACCGAUACUAAUGAACCGUGAGGCUUAACCUUACAACGCCGAAGGUGUUU
RNAcentral lists this ribosomal RNA (2932 nucleotides) under Klebsiella aerogenes. Its description in RNAcentral is "23S ribosomal RNA". It matches the Rfam family "Bacterial large subunit ribosomal RNA". The record is from RNAcentral. Lineage: Bacteria; Pseudomonadati; Pseudomonadota; Gammaproteobacteria; Enterobacterales; Enterobacteriaceae.